AAAAUUGAGUUAGACAAGUUAAGUAACUGCUCAGAGCUUUAUAUACACUAAAUAUCAGAAUUAGGCUUUAUCUCAGAACUCUUUGACUCCAAGAUACAGGAAAUUAAGAACUAUUAUACUUUCUCUAUUUCUAAAUGUAAUACAAUUCACACAUUUUAAAUAUCUUAAGUGUCAAUAUCUGCCGUACAUUAAAACAAGCUACAUCAGAGAAAGUUUAUUGUCUUUUUAAGUAUUAUUUGGAAAAAAAUCUUAACUAUGUACAUAUAUAUUUAAAACUACCUAGAAUAUAUUUUCAACAAUAGAAAAUCAAAUGAAGUAAUAAAUGCUGUGGUCCGAAUAUCUGUGUCCUCUUCAGAUUUUUAUGUUGCAAUCUUAACCUUAAGUUAAUGGCAUUAAGAGGUAAGUCCUGUGGGAGGUGAUACACUGAUGGGGACAUCCCAUUAAGUAACCAGUGGGCUAAGGCAGCUCAUUUGCCAUUUCUACAGUGUGAGAAUGCAGCAACAAGGUGCCAGCUAUGAAGCAAAGAGCCCUUACCAGACAAUGAAUCUACUGACAACUUGAUCUUGGACUCUUCAGCUUCCCAAACUGGUUACCAACUAUAUCACAUAAUGGUCCUAAGGAUUAAAUGAAAAAAAAUGCAGUAAGAUAAAGCUGAUUUAUCAAGGUUGGGGAAAUGCAAUAAAGAAAGAGGUUAAUAAUUCACAGAGCCAGCUGAAUAGAAUACCAGAGUUUUAUUUCUACACAAAUCAGUCUCCCAGCCAUGGUCCAGGCUUGAGGGUGGAGCCCUCACGAGAGACCUCACCAUUUUCUACCUAGUAUUUCCCUGUCUCCUGUCUAUAUCGCAGAGCAUUAAAUUGAAGCCAAGGGACUGAAAUAAGAAACUCCAGAGAACAACAAGAGGAACUGAAAUUGCAUGGUCAUUAGAAGGCAUCUUAAGAAUAACUGUGUAGCAGAGAAUGAGGACUCAUAUCAAAGUUUGAUUCUUUUAGUAUUGGAUUUUAUGUAAGUAAAAUUUUUAGUAUAGUCAAACAAAUAUUAUCGUCAAUAUAUUAAUGUUCAUAUUUACAUUUUCAUCAUGAUGCAGAAGAUGAAAACACUAAACAGACUAUUUGCUAAUGCUGAAAAUCUUUAGUAUUUAGGUAAGAGUUAUAUUAUACAUAAAAUAAAAAUAAUAUAAACUAAGCAUAACUGAAACGUGCUUUUUAAGACCUUGGUUUUGUUUAAAUCUAAAAAUCAAAUACAAAUGUAAUAUAAAGUUCAGUGUGUAACUAUGACAAAAAAUAUUUUGAGUUUAGGAAAUAAGCUGUAGUAUCUGGAAUUUCAAGAGGUAUAUAUAAUACAUUAUGAGAAGGAGUACUUUAAAGGUCAAAAGAAGGGAAAAUAAUAAUUUAAAGCUCAAUAAAUGAAUUCAAAUCCA
Molecule: long non-coding RNA, 1417 nt
Filed under: Homo sapiens (human)
Lineage: Eukaryota; Metazoa; Chordata; Mammalia; Primates; Hominidae
Description: long independently transcribed non-coding RNA 2477 (LINC02477)
Source: RNAcentral